CGGCGGUCUUCCUCCAUCCAGCGGCAGCGGCUCCAGCCUAGGCGAGCCUCGCGAGGGAUUCCGACGCGGCUGGGGAUCAAUCCGAGGCGAGGCUUGCCAGUGAUCUAGCGACGGAGGGGAUCGAUCCGAGGUGAGGCAUCCGGCCUCCAUCCGAGGCGAUGCGCGCGAGGAUCCGGCGAUCGACAGGAUCCCGCCGCGUAGCAGAUGGGCGACGUUUCCUCUUUGCCGUUACCGUUGCUCCUUGCCGCAGCCACUCGUGGCCAUGGCGGCCAGGGUUCACCUCCAACCUCGGCGCGUCCCCUCCUCCCACUCGCCUCGCCCCCCACCCCACCCCCAGCAAUGAGGAGGAGCAGCCGGUGCCCCCGCCCCCGAGUUCGCCGACGACGCCGUCCUCCGGCCCAAGCUUGCUGCUACUGCUCCUCCUCUCCUCUGUCCAUGGCUUCCCCAAGCAGUAAGUAAGAGCAGAGUCCUAAUUCAACAGGCCUCUUGAUGAAUGGAGAGGGGCUGCAGGGGAAGAGCCAGGCAAUUUCAAAUCUUGGGAGCUAAGUUUUUCUAUAUGGAUGUGACGCUCCAUCAGCUUCCACAUACGGCAUUUGGAAAAGUUGUUAAUGGUGGAAAAAAUGAUGUGGACAAUUAAUAAGACACAACUGGGAUGCAAAAGCAUACUGAUGCUCCUGAGAGAAGACGAAUUCACCAUUUCAGAAGGAAGUGAGCCUCCUUAGUUUUACCUACAUUCUUAAACACGCAAUCUGCAAAAUCAUCUGUACGUUUUUUCUUUUCUUUUUUCCACAAGGUAUUUGGUCUUAGUUUAUUAUGCAGAUUGCAUAAGUUUAUGUUCUUUGUGAUUGGACGCGUACAUACAUACAAUUAUUUUGUUUCAAAGAUAGAUUGCAUCUUGCUCGGA
This is a long non-coding RNA of Triticum urartu, 904 nucleotides long. RefSeq lists it as uncharacterized. The record is from RefSeq and is a predicted model, not a curated record. NCBI's taxonomy places the organism in Eukaryota, Viridiplantae, Streptophyta, Magnoliopsida, Poales, Poaceae.